This 1368-nucleotide long non-coding RNA is filed under the name Vulpes vulpes (red fox). RNAcentral's name for it is "lncRNA (ENSVVUG00000013732.1)". The record is from RNAcentral. Lineage: Eukaryota; Metazoa; Chordata; Mammalia; Carnivora; Canidae.
AUGGUCAGCUUAAAGACACCUGCUGUCAAGACUUUUCAAGAAGGCAUAUUUAUUAACUUAAAUUUACUACUCCUGAUUGUUUUUGGAUACAUCGUCAUUCCUCCUUUCUUCCUUGAGGGGGAAACUUUUAUAGCAGUGCCAUAUAGGAGGGCAUGUCAGAAGAGCACAAAUAAUCCUGAUGACCAAAGAGGUGAAGAUGUCUAUGAUAAUCCAUUUCCCCAAUCUCACAGCAACCCCAAAUAUUAUUGAAUUAGUUGAUAGAGGAAAAAAAAAUGCCUGUGUUGUAUAGACUUGAUGUUGUUUCUCUGAAUACAUGAGAAUAUGUGAGAAUAUUCCACAUGAAUGGACCAUGAUAUUUCCAUGCCUGCCAGAUACAAUUGUAAGGAAAGUGGCCUCCAAAAUUUUAUUUCAAUUUCUGUCAUUGUUUCCUCUCUAUUCCUUGGAUAGUUUUCUAUUUUUUAUACCAUGUACUUUGUUUAGGAAGUAAAGCCCUUCUGCUACAAAAGCUGCAGAGGUCCGUACUGGGGAAUGUUGCACUGGCUGAAAGUGAACAUAUAGUGAACAUAUAGUAACAGGGCAUGAGAGAGAUUCCUAAAUUCUGAAAUAAGUGAUGAGAACUCAGAAAAACAGAGACACACCACUCAGAUUAGCACCAAAUUAAACCAAUGUAAAUCUCACUUUUCAAAAUAUAAAUGCAAGAAAUUCAAAGAGAAGGGCAAAUUAGAUCAACUCGCUGACUGAGCCACACUUCUCAAGCAUCUGCCUUACUUCUGGGAGUUCAUUAUCUAUCUCAGAUGUGGAAGAGCUGUAGACAAAGACAACUGCAUGGCCAGUAGAGAAAAUUCCUCUUCUAUUUUUUUAUAGUGAUUUUAGUUAGAAGAAGAUACUCAUUGUUGGUCCUCUUGUAAGAGACAUCUAUGCCAUCCACUGAAAUCAGUCUCCAAUCUCUGGAAUAUAGCUAGAAUUUUUUCAGCCUUCUUUGUAGUUACAUAUGGCUAUUUGGGAUUCUCUCUAAUGGAAUGUGUUUGGUAGUGAUGAAACCAAUUUCUGACACAUUAAAAUCUAAUAUUUAGCUCCUUCAUUUCUUUCCCCAUCUACCAGAUGCAUGCAAAUAAUUAUGUGUUCUUAAGGGAUGACAUAGCCACAAAAUAUAAGAUGCUUUGGUUGCCAAAUCACCACAUGGAGGAAAGCCAUGCCUCUGUCUUAACCACUCCACUGAUUGUAUGGUUAAAAAAUAAGGUCCUAUUAUAUUGAACCACUAAAAUAUUGGGAUGCAAAGAGGAAAAAAAGAGAGAGAGAGAGACAAAUCCAAAAAGAGGCUUAAUUACACAGAAUAAACUGAUGGUUACCAGAGGGGAGGUGUGUGAG